GUUGUGGUUGUGCUUAAAAAGUACAUUUGAAUGUUCAGACGAGCAUCGAUAUCAUAUCAUAUGAUGAUCUCGCAGUUUUGUAUCCUUAAUUUCUAAUACCACUCGUCUAGUGGCAGUAAAAUAUUCUUAGACGUGAAGCUACCCGAAACAUUGCAUCAUUAAUCAAUAGUAAGGAUUUUUCGUUACAAGAAAAUAAUCGAGUGGAAGAAAUUAAUGCAAUUUAGCACUGCCAUCAUUAUCCCAUCAGUCACGACAGCGUCAGCCUAAAAUAUGAAUUCAUGAGCAACACUGUCAAAGCAACUUUUUCCGAGCACAUCAAGAUACGGAUACGUUGGUCAUCUUCUACCACUUCGUCUCGAGUAGAUCCAACAGCAAAUCCCGCAACAGCAAAAUGAGCGACCGUAAGGCAGUAAUCAAAAAUGCCGAUAUGGGUGAGGAGAUGCAACAGGACGCUGUUGAUUGUGCGACGCAGGCCCCUUGA
Long non-coding RNA from Armigeres subalbatus, 481 nucleotides. RefSeq lists it as uncharacterized. The record is from RefSeq and is a predicted model, not a curated record. NCBI's taxonomy places the organism in Eukaryota, Metazoa, Arthropoda, Insecta, Diptera, Culicidae. The transcript has 3 exons.